This 139-nucleotide small nucleolar RNA is filed under the name Citrus sinensis (sweet orange). RNAcentral's name for it is "Small nucleolar RNA Z247". It matches the Rfam family "Small nucleolar RNA Z247". From Rfam's summary of the family: Z247 is a member of the C/D class of snoRNA which contain the C (UGAUGA) and D (CUGA) box motifs. Most of the members of the box C/D family function in directing site-specific 2'-O-methylation of substrate RNAs. Lineage: Eukaryota; Viridiplantae; Streptophyta; Magnoliopsida; Sapindales; Rutaceae. The record is from Rfam by way of RNAcentral. RNAcentral also lists the same sequence under 1 other name.
CCCAUUGAUAAUGAGGAUCUCAUAUUAAAAAUCUUAGGUGGCCUUGAUGAAGAUUACAAAGACCUCUGCUCAGCCAUCCGUGUCCGUGACAACCCUAUUACGUUUGAUGAACUGCAUGAGAAACUCAUCAAUUUUGAAG